RNAcentral lists this ribosomal RNA (549 nucleotides) under uncultured bacterium. Its description in RNAcentral is "bacterial SSU rRNA". It matches the Rfam family "Bacterial small subunit ribosomal RNA", at positions 355 to 896 of the family's 1533-position model. The record is from RNAcentral.
UGGGGAAUAUUGGACAAUGGGCGAAAGCCUGAUCCAGCCAUGCCGCGUGUGUGAAGAAGGCCUUCGGGUUGUAAAGCACUUUAAGCGAGGAGGAAUGGCUCUAGGUUAAUACCCUUGAGCAGUGACGUUACUCGCAGAAUAAGCACCGGCUAACUCUGUGCCAGCAGCCGCGGUAAUACAGAGGGUGCAAGCGUUAAUCGGAAUUACUGGGCGUAAAGCGCGCGUAGGCGGUUACGUAAGUUGGAGGUGAAAUCCCCGAGCUCAACUUGGGAAUUGCCUUCAAAACUGCGUGGCUAGAGUGUGGGAGAGGAAGGUAGAAUUCCAGGUGUAGCGGUGAAAUGCGUAGAUAUCUGGAGGAAUACCGAUGGCGAAGGCAGCCUUCUGGCCUAACACUGACGCUGAGGUGCGAAAGCAUGGGGAGCAAACAGGAUUAGAUACCCUGGUAGUCCAUGCCGUAAACGAUGUCUACUAGCCGUUGGGGGACUUGAUCCUUUAGUGGCGCAGCUAACGCAUUAAGUAGACCGCCUGGGGAGUACGGUCGCAAGACUA